CGCGGCCUAUCAGCUUGUUGGUGGGGUAGCGGCCCACCAAGGCGACGACGGGUAGCUGGUCUGAGAGGACGACCAGCCACACUGGGACUGAGAUACGGCCCAGACUCCUACGGGAGGCAGCAGUGGGGAAUCUUGCGCAAUGGGCGAAAGCCUGACGCAGCGACGCCGCGUGGGGGAUGAAGGCCCUCGGGUUGUAAACCCCUUUCGGUGGGGACGAAGCGAACGUGACGGUACCCACAGAAGAAGCCCCGGCUAACUACGUGCCAGCAGCCGCGGUAAGACGUAGGGGGCGAGCGUUGUCCGGAAUUAUUGGGCGUAAAGAGCGCGCAGGCGGCCACGUAAGUCGGGUGUGAAAUCCCGGGGCUCAACCCCGGGACUGCAUCCGAUACUGCGUGGCUAGAGGUAGGUAGGGGAGAUCGGAAUUCCUGGUGUAGCGGUGAAAUGCGCAGAUAUCAGGAGGAACACCGGUGGCGAAGGCGGAUCUCUGGGCCUUACCUGACGCUCAGGCGCGAAAGCUAGGGGAGCGAACAGGAUUAGAUACCCUGGUAGUCCUAGCCGUAAACGUUGGGUGCUAGGUGUGGGCGGAUAUUGACCCCGUCCGUGCCGAAGCUAACGCAUUAAGCACCCCGCCUGGGGAGUACGG
RNAcentral lists this ribosomal RNA (643 nucleotides) under uncultured Actinomycetes bacterium. RNAcentral's name for it is "bacterial SSU rRNA". It matches the Rfam family "Bacterial small subunit ribosomal RNA", at positions 232 to 885 of the family's 1533-position model. Lineage: Bacteria; Bacillati; Actinomycetota; Actinomycetes. The record is from RNAcentral.